RNAcentral lists this long non-coding RNA (441 nucleotides) under Manihot esculenta (cassava). RNAcentral's name for it is "long non-coding RNA (MESC_LNC004085)". The record is from RNAcentral. Lineage: Eukaryota; Viridiplantae; Streptophyta; Magnoliopsida; Malpighiales; Euphorbiaceae.
CCCUUCCCGGCGCGACCCGUCGCUUCCCGGCGCGUGACCCAUCAUCUGUCACUGCUUUGCUGCUCCGAUCACUCCGGCAACGAUUCCGAUCAUCUUUCCGGCCUUCCCGUGCUGCUACCCGGCCUUUUGGUGAAUCGAUUGGGCUCUCUUGUGUGUACAACCUUGGAUACCUCCUAUUCUGUCACAAUUUAUAAACCUUUACCAUGGCAGAAGGUAAAAGGGUGUCAAUGACAGAAGGUAAAAGGGUGUCGAUAGCAGAAGGUAAAAGAGUCUCGAUUCCUAACUCUGAUUCCUCAUUCUUUAGUGCCACAUCUGACUUUGUAAAGUCAGGUAAUGCUUCAUCUCUUCAUAAUAUUCCAUGGAUUAUCGAUUCUGGUGCGAAUAGACACAUGACAGGUUCUUCUAAAGGCUUUCUCAAUUAUUUUCCUUCCCUAACNNNNN